This 49-nucleotide non-coding RNA is filed under the name Trichobilharzia regenti. Lineage: Eukaryota; Metazoa; Platyhelminthes; Trematoda; Strigeidida; Schistosomatidae. The record is from RNAcentral.
AUCCAGUUGACGAGUCCCAAAUAGGACGAAAUGCACAUCCUCGCUGGAU